RNAcentral lists this small RNA (29 nucleotides) under Bombyx mori (domestic silkworm). RNAcentral's name for it is "ovarian small RNA-17453". Lineage: Eukaryota; Metazoa; Arthropoda; Insecta; Lepidoptera; Bombycidae. The record is from RNAcentral.
GGCUACUAAGCGCGCGCCAACGUGUGAAC